GUGUCAGCAGCCGCGGUAAGACGAACCGUGCGAACGUUGUUCGGAAUCACUGGGCUUAAAGGGUGUGUAGGCGGUCUGUCAAGUCAGGGGUGAAAUCUUUCGGCUCAACCGGAAAACUGCCUUUGAUACUGGCAGGCUCGAGGGAGAUAGGGGUUGCGGGAACUACCAGUGGAGCGGUGAAAUGCGUUGAUAUUGGUAGGAACGCCGGUGGCGAAAGCGCGCAACUGGACCUCUUCUGACGCUGAAACACGAAAGCUAGGGGAGCAAACGGGAUUAGAUACCCCGGUAGUCC
RNAcentral lists this ribosomal RNA (292 nucleotides) under uncultured bacterium. RNAcentral describes it as "partial 16S ribosomal RNA". It matches the Rfam family "Bacterial small subunit ribosomal RNA", at positions 505 to 796 of the family's 1533-position model. The record is from RNAcentral.